UGCCAGCAGCCGCGGUAACACGUAGGGUGCAAGCGUUGUCCGGAUUCAUUGGGCGUAAAGAGCUCGUAGGCGGUUUGGUAAGUCGGGUGUGAAAACUCAGGGCUCAACCCUGAGACGCCACUCGAUACUGCCAUGACUCGAGUCCGGUAGAGGAGCACGGAAUUUCUGGUGUAGCGGUGAAAUGCGCAGAUAUCAGAAGGAACACCAGUAGCGAAGGCGGUGCUCUGGGCCGGUACUGACGCUGAGGAGCGAAAGCGUGGGGAGCAAACAGGAUUAGAUA
This 280-nucleotide ribosomal RNA is filed under the name uncultured bacterium. RNAcentral's name for it is "partial 16S ribosomal RNA". It matches the Rfam family "Bacterial small subunit ribosomal RNA", at positions 506 to 784 of the family's 1533-position model. The record is from RNAcentral.